UCCUUAACCCAAUGAGCAGGGCCAGAGAUCGAACCUGCAUCCUCAUGGAUGGUCGUCGGGUUUGUUACCUCGGAGGCAGGACGGGAACGCCUCCUCUUUUCCCCUCUCCAUUUCCUUUUGAACUGAAACUGAGAUCUGUAAAGUUCAGUCUAAGAGGAGCUUUCCCUGAACCCUUGUCUCCACCCACUGACAAAGGGAAGCAGAGGCUUCUCCAGCCUCCCCAGGUCUGUGUCUCCUUGGACAGUAAGCUGUUCCAGGUCAGGGCAUGGGUCACUGCUGACAAGCUGGGUCCUGUGCCAGGGAGCAAAGCCUCCAGCCUGAGCCCACCAGCCUCAGACUUUGAGCCCAGCCGUGUUCGGACACCUCGGGGUUUUAUUUUCUGUAGCCUCUGAGGGAGACUCGGGGCUGUGGAGCUGGUUACCGUGCUUCUCAUGAGAGAAGCCCUCGACACCAGGCUGCCUCCCCUGAACCCGUGUCCCUGGCAAGAAGCCUUCCUGCAGGGCUGCCAGCACUAAUUAGCAUUAACAGGGCUGCCUGCCAAACUCCCUCACUGCCUCAAAGUGUGGGACGCUUCUCUGCUUAGAAGGAGGUUUUGGUCAUGGCUGCAUUGGGGCCUCCAUAAAUCACUGGAUCUAAACUCCUUGGAGAAGCAGUUAAGACAAGUUUCCUAAUUUCGUCCUUUUCUGGCAGCUACAGCAUUGCACUUUCCCCCUUUCCUUAAAAAAAUAUCAACCAAUGCCUAAAGAACAGAGAGGGCUUUAUUGUUACUCGGCCACUGCUCCUGAUCCUUAUCAACAGCUCUCCGAGAAAGGCCCUCCAAAAUCUCACCGCAGCAUCUUCAUUUACUGAAAUACCCUUUCCGGGAUUUUUGUGUCACGUCAGCUCAAAUGGAAACAUUGCUGAAGCUGCUUUGAUUCUGAGCUUGCCGCUGGGUCAGUGAUGAGGAUGACCCGCUUUUCUCUCCCACCCUCUUCCCCGGCUCGUCCCCCGCCGCCCAAGAAAGCACCUGGAAGAAACCCAGCUUCUCAUGUGGCUAAAUAAACAGGAGGACCUGUGACUCAGCACGGCUGGGGCGGCUGGAGGAGGAGCGAAGCGAGUGCCAGACCCACGCUGUGAGCCUCUUCCUUCUGGGAAACCUGAGUCACAGCGGGAAGCGGGAGCUGGGCACUGGCGCAGAGCUGAGUGGGAGUGCGCGGGCACGCACAUGCGUACGUGUGCGUGGUCAGGCCCCUCAGGACAGCCCUUCCGGCUGGUCUCUUUCUCUCUGUACAGCCCCUGCUCCCACUCCAGGCCCCUGGCUGCCCCCAGCCCCAGUUGGUGACUGCUCUCAUCCUUGGACCAGAGGCUCCACCUGCUGAUUCGUUCAAGGGAAACAACCUGCCCUCCUGACGCUUGUUAACCUGAGGGGCUGGGGACCUGCAGCCGCUGGUCUCCCUGGUAACUGAGGAGCCCAUGUGACGUCAUUUCCCCUGAAAAUAUCAGUUCCCCACCCGCAACACCCAGGAGUGAAGGUUGCUGCCAAGUCCUGGCUGCUGUGUGCUGUCCCAUGGUGGGAUGUUGCUGCAGGACCGUUGUUUCAGACGUGUGAAGCCCCCUGUCCAAUAAGCCAUCAAUGUCCCUGUCGCUGUCUCCAGGCUUUUUCUUCAGGCCUGAGGCUGGACGACUCCAAGGCUCGCAGGCCUGCGGGGUGAAGCCCAACAGUGUGAGGGAGAGUCUGUGUGUGGGUCAGUGAGUGUGUGUGUGUUGGGGGGGGGAGUCUGUGUGUGAACUGGACCAAACGUGGAAGUGUGAUUGUGCAUAGGAAUGAGACACUGAGUGAGUGUGAGACUGUGUUCGUUUGUGUGCCUGUGUCACGCACACACAUGCUGCCUUCCGCCCACAGGGCUUUCAAAGGAAAAGGCCUUGAAACAACGGGCACCCGACUUCAACCAGUUCUACAGACCUGGGGCUAGAUGACAACCAGCCCCUCACCGCCUCCCUCCCGCUGCUCCUCGGCCAACCCGUGCCAGGGGCCGGAAAGGCUUCAGAGAGCGUCCUUUUCCAGCAGCGUGCACCUGUUUGUUUACUUGGGGGUCAUUCUGGGUUAACUCAGGAAGAGUUUACAAAGUUCUCAAGUUCUGUGCCAGGUGUGUGGGGCUGUCGGUCCUGCCCAGCUCAUGAGGACAAGCAAGACGAUGCCGCCACUGGGCAAGCUCACCACUGCCCCAGACCCCUGCCCACUGGCAUUGCUCACCCACUAGGGGUGAUAAGGGCAGGUGGGGGGCAUCUUAAAAGGAGAAGGUAACUGGAAACCCAAAGUGGCCUCAACCAGGAAAGAAGAGCCAGAUGAGUCUUGACUGAAUGCUUUCCAAGGGUGAGGUCAUUCAUUCCUGCAGAGAAGCCCAGGAGCCUGGUACUGUUUUACAGAGGAAAUGCCCCCUAGCCUUGGAGAAGCUUGUCCCUACACGGCGGGAAUGGUAUAACCUGGAUUCUAAACUCCUUCUGAUUCUAGACCAUUCUCUUUCCUCAACACCAAGCGCUCUCAGAUAUUUUUUAAAGUGUUAGAAAACAUAGACUUUCUCUUUUCCAUAUAUUUUAUAGGAAAAACCAUCUUUGGAGCUGGGAAAGGGCCGGAGGUUGUCUGGGAAAAUAAGCUUGGACACUGAAAGCCGUGUGAACUUUGACCUGGGAUCCUAACCUCUGCUGCGUGAGCCGCUCUGCAGGGGGCCAAUCAGAAAGCAGAUCCCAUGAAAUUGCAUGACUGUCAGAACCAAAACCUGGGAUGUCCUCCUUACUGAGGAUGUUAUAACCUAAAUCAGUGGGUCUCAACCAAGAGCCACUCUGGCCCCCAGGGUGCAUUUGGCAAUGUCUGGAGAUGAUUUUGGUAGUUGCCAUUGGUGGUGGAGGUCACAGGCCCAGCAAGGCUGCUGAACUCUUCACAGUGCACAGGACAGCCCCACCACAAAGAAUGAGCUGGCUCAAAAUGUCACUAGAGCAAUUCCUUUUUUUGCCUGCUGGUCAAUGGCCUGAAGCGCCCCAAAUGAUGGUGGCCGCAAUUCCAUCACAGCGCCCAGGAGGAAGCAGGACCUGUAAGCCAGUGGAGCCUAAAGGUGCAGCUUCCACAGGCAGCACCAGUUACCUGGGGGUGAGGGACUACUGCUCCAGACACAGCCCUGGAUUUCAGCUGGCGUCAUAGCCUGUGUGUGGCAGCCUGGGAGACUGAGCCCUGCCGUGUUUCUUGUCCCUUUAUAAAACUCUUACAGUCUCCA
This is a non-coding RNA of Sus scrofa (pig), 3248 nucleotides long. Lineage: Eukaryota; Metazoa; Chordata; Mammalia; Artiodactyla; Suidae. The record is from RefSeq and is a predicted model, not a curated record.